GCCUCUAGCGAGAAAUAGCCCUUCGGGGUACUCGAGCGGCGAACGGGUGAGUAACACGUGAGCAACCUGCCCCAAGCUUUGGGAUAACCCUCGGAAACGGGGGCUAAUACCGAAUAGGACUUCCGGCCGCAUGGCUGGGGGUGGAAAGUUUUUCGGCUUGGGAUGGGCUCGCGGCCUAUCAGCUUGUUGGUGGGGUGAUGGCCUACCAAGGCGACGACGGGUAGCCGGCCUGAGAGGGCGACCGGCCACACUGGGACUGAGACACGGCCCAGACUCCUACGGGAGGCAGCAGUGGGGAAUAUUGCACAAUGGGCGGAAGCCUGAUGCAGCGACGCCGCGUGAGGGAUGACGGCCUUCGGGUUGUAAACCUCUUUCAGCAGGGACGAAGCGAGAGUGACGGUACCUGCAGAAGAAGCACCGGCCAACUACGUGCCAGCAGCCGCGGUAAGACGUAGGGUGCGAGCGUUGUCCGGAUUUAUUGGGCGUAAAGAGCUCGUAGGCGGCUUGUCGCGUCGACCGUGAAAACUUGGGGCUCAACCCCAAGCCUGCGGUCGAUACGGGCAGGCUAGAGUUCGGUAGGGGAGACUGGAAUUCCUGGUGUAGCGGUGAAAUGCGCAGAUAUCAGGAGGAACACCGGUGGCGAAGGCGGGUCUCUGGGCCGAUACUGACGCUGAGGAGCGAAAGCGUGGGGAGCGAACAGGAUUAGAUACCCUGGU
Molecule: ribosomal RNA, 716 nt
Filed under: Actinomycetes bacterium
Lineage: Bacteria; Bacillati; Actinomycetota; Actinomycetes
Description: bacterial SSU rRNA
Rfam family: Bacterial small subunit ribosomal RNA
Source: RNAcentral